RNAcentral lists this long non-coding RNA (999 nucleotides) under Polistes canadensis. RNAcentral describes it as "uncharacterized LOC106789033, transcript variant X3". The record is from RNAcentral. Lineage: Eukaryota; Metazoa; Arthropoda; Insecta; Hymenoptera; Vespidae.
UGCGAUGAUUAGGGUUGAGAAAAAAAAUGUCGUUUGUAUUUUUUUUGCAAAGACGAAUUUUUCGAUUUAAUUAAGGUGCGUCGGGGCGGGNAGGAUUUCGAAGAGAUGGAUGGUUUUUUUUAAUUUUUUUUUUUUUUAAAUACUUAGGGAAUAAAAAGGAAACGCGAGAUCGCGUUCGUGUGACGUGCACGUUUGAAACAGCACUGAGGUUAUGGGCGUCCAAGCGAUCGAUGAUGCGUCGGAGAAGGAAACGGGGCGCUCGUAUAGCAACUGCGCCACUGAUGUGAGUGAAGAAAACAAACGUCGUUUCAAUGCUGUUGUCAAUGCUGUUGUCAAUGCCGUUGUCAAUGCCGUUGCCAAUGCCGUUGCCAAUGCCGUGUGAGACAUUUCAAACCCGUUACGCAUUGCCUUGCUCGUUGAGCUACAAUAUCUUGGUGGCAAGAGCUAGUGAAUCACCCUGUGUAACGUAUGAAGUUUAUUAUCAUAAGCUUAUCCGGUUCUGAUCAGAAAAGGUCAACACUACCGACUGUUUCAGCCACUCUGCUUUCACCGAGUUUAGCUAAGACCAGGCAGGUUCUCUCGUUUUUCCAAGGAUUAAAUAGUAAUAAAAGAUAGCAAAUUGUGUGAAAGGAUAGGAAGAUGAAGGUAAAAUGAAGAAAUGAUUCGAAUUAAUGAAGAUUGUAGAUUCCCGGAGUUCUGAUUUACAAAAUGUAUAAUGAUGAACUAAGUUAAUUACAAAUUAAAAAAAGAUACAAAGCCUGUUGAAUUGCUUGCGAUUGAUUGUCCCCAGGAAUGCUUGGGCUGAUUGACGGGUCCGAUCCUCUCAGCCACAUGUUCUGCAGUUUCUUUAUUUUAGCACGUGUUGACAGACAAUGGUUAAGGGCAGGGAUUACGUGGAGUUUGUUGAAUUCUUAAGUAAUCUUCUAGUGAUUUAUUGUUAUUGCUUUCAUAUUUUUUUUUCGAAUGAUGCGUUUAUUAAUGAAAUCAAUCUGGUUUCAA